AUUGAACGCUGGCGGCAGGCUUAACACAUGCAAGUCGAGCGGGGUGAUGGUGCUUGCACUAUCACUUAGCGGCGGACGGGUGAGUAAUGCUUAGGAAUCUGCCUAUUAGUGGGGGACAACAUCUCGAAAGGGAUGCUAAUACCGCAUACGUCCUACGGGAGAAAGCAGGGGACCACUUGUGACCUUGCGGUAAUAGAUGAGCAUAAGUCGGAUUAGCUAGUUGGUGGGGUAAGGGCCUACCAAGGCGACGAUCUGUAGCGGGUCUGAGAGGAUGAUCCGCCACACUGGGACUAAGACACGGCCCAGACUCCUACGGGAGGCAGCAGUGGGGAAUAUUGGACAAUGGGGGGAACCCUGAUCCAGCCAUGCCGCGUGUGUGAAGAAGGCCUUAUGGUUGUAAAGCACUUUAAGCGAGGAGGAGGCUCUUUUGGUUAAUACCCAAGAUGAGUGGACGUUACUCGCAGAAUAAGCACCGGCUAACUCUGUGCCAGCCGCCGCGGUAA
This 503-nucleotide ribosomal RNA is filed under the name uncultured bacterium. RNAcentral's name for it is "partial 16S ribosomal RNA". It matches the Rfam family "Bacterial small subunit ribosomal RNA", at positions 30 to 523 of the family's 1533-position model. The record is from RNAcentral.